RNAcentral lists this ribosomal RNA (1662 nucleotides) under Triticum aestivum (bread wheat). RNAcentral's name for it is "partial small subunit ribosomal RNA". The record is from RNAcentral. Lineage: Eukaryota; Viridiplantae; Streptophyta; Magnoliopsida; Poales; Poaceae.
AUGGCGGCGACCUCGCCGGCGCCGACGAGGGCCGCCGCGGCGCUCACCCUGGCCCCGCAUCGAAGGGUCCACCAUGUCCACAUGCCUUCCGGCCGCCCCUGCCCCUGCCGCACUUCUGCCUCUCCUCGGCGGCGCACUCCGCGAUGCCGCGCGAAGCCGACAGUCAAGGGCGUGGUCGACGACGACGAGGACGCUUCCCGGGAGUCCGACCCUGAAAGGAAGGAGGAGGAGGAAGCUAUGACUGCGACUGGUACGCUGCCGGGAUGGCUCAGGCUUGACACGGUUGGGAUGGAUAUCCUGAGCAUCGCCGCGCCCGCUGUGCUCGCGCUCGCCGCCGACCCCAUCGCUGCGCUCGUCGACACCGCCUUCGUCGGCCAUAUAGGUUCAACCGAACUUGCUGCCGUGGGUGUAUCGAUUUCGAUCUUCAAUUUGGUGUCGAAGUUAUUUAAUGUUCCACUGCUUAACGUGACUACAUCUUUUGUUGCUGAGCAGCAAGCAGUAGAUGAUAGUUAUAGAGGAACAGGAGAAAAUGAAUUUCGAAGAUUCCCAGAUAAUAAGUUGACAGAAGAAAGGAAGUUUCUUCCGGCAGUCACGACAUCUUUGGCUCUAGCUUCUGGUAUUGGGUUGAUGGAAACUGUGGCACUUAUUUUUGGAUCUGGAACAUUGAUGGAUUUCAUCGGUAUACCAGUGGAUUCCCCAGUGCGUAUACCAGCCGAGCAAUUUCUUACUUUUAGGGCAUAUGGUGCUCCACCUAUCAUAGUAGCACUUGCAGCACAGGGUGCAUUUCGUGGGUUGAUGGAUACAAAGACACCUUUGUACGCUAUUGGUGUUGGUAACCUAGUAAAUGCAAUACUUGAUGCCAUAUUUGUCUUUCCGCUUGGUUUAGGAGUAAGAGGUGCUGCGUUGGCGACUGUAACAUCUGAGUACGUGAUAGCUUGCAUCCUCCUUUGGAAGUUGAAUAGUAAAGUAGUAAUCUUCUCAGGAAAGAUCAUUGGUGGUGGAAUGAUACGCUACCUGAAAUCAGGUGGACUGCUGAUCGGUAGGACCAUAGCAGUGCUCCUCACCAUGACACUGUCAACAUCUCUUGCUGCAAGGGAAGGGCCUGUUCCAAUGGCUGGCCAUCAGUUAUGCUUGCAAGUAUGGUUAACAAUCUCUUUACUCAAUGAUGCAUUAGCUCUUGCUGGACAGGCUCUGCUUGCAACUGAAUAUACGAAAAGAAAUUACAAGCAGGCGCGCAUGGUUCUCUACAGAGUUCUGCAGAUUGGAGGGGUGACUGGUACGGCACUCGCUAUAAUCUUGUUUUUUGGGUUUGGGUCUUUCUCCUCGCUGUUCACAGACGAUCCAGCAGUUCUGGGUAUUGCCAAAUCUGGUGUCUGGUUCGUCGCCAUCUCCCAGCCAAUAAACGCUGUUGCUUUUGUGGUUGAUGGGCUCUACUAUGGUGUAUCUGACUUUGCAUAUGCUGCCUACUCCAUGUUCUUUGCAGGAGCCAUAUCAUCGGCUUUCCUACUUGUUGCCGCUCCUGAAUUUGGUCUUGGUGGCGUCUGGGCCGGUCUCAUUCUUUUUAUGAGUCUGCGAGCAGUUGCUGGGUUGUGGAGGUUGGGGAGCAAAGGUGGACCCUGGAACUCGAUCUUGUCAGAGACUGACUUACGCGACAAAAUGUGA